This 250-nucleotide ribosomal RNA is filed under the name uncultured bacterium. RNAcentral's name for it is "partial 16S ribosomal RNA". It matches the Rfam family "Bacterial small subunit ribosomal RNA", at positions 524 to 773 of the family's 1533-position model. The record is from RNAcentral.
UACGGAGGGGGCUAGCGUUGUUCGGAAUCACUGGGCGUAAAGCGUACGUAGGCGGCUACUCAAGUCAGAGGUGAAAGCCUGGAGCUCAACUCCAGAACUGCCUUUGAAACUAGGUAGCUUGAACACGGGAGAGGUGAGUGGAAUUCCGAGUGUAGAGGUGAAAUUCGUAGAUAUUCGGAAGAACACCAGUGGCGAAGGCGGCUCACUGGACCGUUGUUGACGCUGAGGUACGAAAGCGUGGGGAGCAAAC